GUAGGUGGCAAGCGUUGUCCGGAAUUAUUGGGCGUAAAGCGCGCGCAGGCGGUCCUUUAAGUCUGAUGUGAAAGCCCACGGCUCAACCGUGGAGGGUCAUUGGAAACUGGGGGACUUGAGUACAGAAGAGGAAGGCGGAAUUCCAAGUGUAGCGGUGAAAUGCGUAGAGAUUUGGAGGAACACCAGUGGCGAAGGCGGCUUUCUGGUCUGUAACUGACGCUGAGGCGCGAAAGCGUGGGGAGCAAACAGGGAUUAGAUACCCUGGUAGUCCACGCCGUAAACGAUGAGUGCUAAGUGUUAGGGGGUUUCCCGCCCCUUAGUGCUGCAGCUAACGCAUUAAGCACUCCGCCUGGGGAGUACGGCCGCAAGGCUG
RNAcentral lists this ribosomal RNA (373 nucleotides) under uncultured organism. RNAcentral's name for it is "partial 16S ribosomal RNA". It matches the Rfam family "Bacterial small subunit ribosomal RNA", at positions 527 to 896 of the family's 1533-position model. The record is from RNAcentral.